This 454-nucleotide ribosomal RNA is filed under the name uncultured Alistipes sp. RNAcentral's name for it is "partial 16S ribosomal RNA". It matches the Rfam family "Bacterial small subunit ribosomal RNA", at positions 341 to 792 of the family's 1533-position model. The record is from RNAcentral. Lineage: Bacteria; Pseudomonadati; Bacteroidota; Bacteroidia; Bacteroidales; Rikenellaceae.
ACGGAAGGCAGCAGUGAGGAAUAUUGGUCAAUGGACGGAAGUCUGAACCAGCCAAGUCGCGUGCGGGAUGAAGGCCCUACGGGUCGUGAACCGCUUUUGUACGGGGAUAAAGUCACCCACGUGUGGGUGUUUGUAGGUACCGUAAGAAUAAGGAUCGGCUAACUCCGUGCCAGCAGCCGCGGUAAUACGGAGGAUCCGAGCGUUAUCCGGAUUUAUUGGGUUUAAAGGGUGCGCAGGCGGGCUGCUAAGUCUCCGGUGAAAUGUCAGGGCUCAACCUUGGCACUGCCGGAGAUACUGGCGGCCUUGAGAGUGGCGGAGGUAUCCGGAAUGUGUGGUGUAGCGGUGAAAUGCAUAGAUAUCACACAGAACACCGAUUGCGAAGGCAGGAUACCAUACCAUAUCUGACGCUCAGGCACGAAAGCGUGGGGAUCGAACAGGAUUAGAUACCCUGGUA